This 277-nucleotide long non-coding RNA is filed under the name Elaeis guineensis (African oil palm). Its description in RNAcentral is "long non-coding RNA (EGUI_LNC064847)". The record is from RNAcentral. Lineage: Eukaryota; Viridiplantae; Streptophyta; Magnoliopsida; Arecales; Arecaceae.
UGAACAGCGAACAGAAAAUUAUGUAUGAUAUAUAUUUUAGAUUUAAAUUAGAUUAUGCAUGUAUUUUUAUGUAUUUUAGAUCAGUUAAUAUUAUAUGUGAUAUAUUGUUUUGACACACGAUCUAAAACUUAAUUUCUGCAAAAUUCUAGAUCCAAAACUCUAGGCUCUAUUUGCAUGAAAAUAUGAAACUAUGACUGGUAUGCCUAUGGAGUCAACUUGAUUCUCAAUUGGAUCGACUCAAGUUGUUGAGAUGAGUUGACUCAUUUUUGUUGGAGUC